GACGAACGCUGGCGGCGUGCUUAACACAUGCAAGUCGUACGGUAAGGCCCUUUCGGGGGUACACGAGUGGCGAACGGGUGAGUAACACGUGCGUAACCUGCCCACAACUUUGGGAUAACGCUAGGAAACUGGUGCUAAUACUGGAUAUGUGCUCCUGCUGCAUGGUGGGGGUUGGAAAGCUCCGGCGGUUGUGGAUGGACUCGCGGCCUAUCAGCUUGUUGGUGGGGUAGUGGCCUACCAAGGCGGCGACGGGUAGCCGGCCUGAGAGGGUGACCGGCCACAUUGGGACUGAGAUACGGCCCAGACUCCUACGGGAGGCAGCAGUGGGGAAGAUUGCACAAUGGGCGCAAGCCUGGUGAAGCAACGCCGCGUGCGGGAUGACGGCCUUCGGGUUGUAAACCGCUUUCAGCAGGGACGAAGCUUUUUGUGACGGUACCUGCAGAAGAAGCACCGGCUAACUACGUG
Molecule: ribosomal RNA, 465 nt
Filed under: uncultured bacterium
Lineage: Bacteria
Description: partial 16S ribosomal RNA
Rfam family: Bacterial small subunit ribosomal RNA
Source: RNAcentral